This 68-nucleotide transfer RNA is filed under the name Ceratophysella communis. RNAcentral describes it as "tRNA-Leu". Lineage: Eukaryota; Metazoa; Arthropoda; Collembola; Poduromorpha; Hypogastruridae. The record is from RNAcentral.
GCUAAUUUGGCAGACAAGUGCGCUUGAUUUAGGUUCAUGUUAUAAGAUAGUUUAUGUUUUAAUUAGUA